CAGAUGCUGAUCCCAUAGUUGGUGUGGUUUACCUAGAUUUCAGCAAAAUAUUUUAGGAAGUCUCUCAUGCUAUUAUUAUUCUUGUGAACAAGAUAGAUAAAAGCGUGCUAGAGGAUAUUAUAGUUAGUUGGAUUCUGAAUGGUUGAAUUGCUGCAAACAAGGAGUAGUUGUAUUAUUAUUCACUUGAAAAGAGGUAUCUAGUAGAGGGCCUUAGGGAUCUCUCAUUGACCCUGAACUGUUUAGUAAUGACCUAGAUAAAGAUAUAGAUGGCUUCUUUAUUGAAUUUUCAGACAAUGCUAAGCCAGUCCUGACUUAUCUGACUGAUAGGAGACAAAAAGAUUUUGACAGGAUAGAUUGUUACCUGAGUCUAUCAUGAUGAAAGGUAAUGGGAGUAAGAGUAAAAUUUUAUACUUGGAUUCAAAAGUUUCAACAUGGCAACCAUUAUGAUUAUUAUGGUUACAUUAUUAGAGGCAGAGUGUCUUGGACAAGGGAGACUAUAGUCUUGCUCUAUAAUCUAUCCUAAGAGACCACAUCUGGAGUAUUGCAUUCAGUUCUAGAUAAACUGGCAGAUGUCCCAAGGAGAGUGGUCAGGAUGGUGAAUGGGUUCCAAUUCAUACCCUAUAAAGAUCAGUUGUAGAAACUGGGACUAUUUAGUCUGGAGCAAGAUGAUUGACAAGGUACAUGAUAGCUGUCUUCAAGCAUUUAAAGGAUUCUCAUGGAUGCCAAUCUAGAAGAAGAAGAAGAAGAAGAAGAAGAAGAAGAAGAAGAAGAAGAAGAAGAAGAAGAAGAAGAAGAACAACAACAACAACAACAACAACAACAACAACAACAACAACAACAACAAGAACAAGAACAACAAGAACAAGAACAAGAGCAAGAGCAAGAGCAAGAACAAGAGCAAGAACAACAACAAGAACAAGAGCAAGAACAACAACAACAACAACAACAACAAGAGCAAGAACAAGAACAAGAACAAGAACAAGAAGAACAAGAACAAGAGAAUAAGAAUAUGGACUGGCCACCAUGCACUGGUAAGCAUAGAUGGCUUGGAUCCAUAGAGUUGGAUGGAAUAUCCACAUUGAUGAGACAUCAGAUAAUACUAGAGAUUAGUACUUACUGAGUCAGUGUUCAAUUACUUUGCUUUUGCCUAAACUCCACCUUUUAAUCUGUUAAUCAAUACUAGUCACCAAUCAUCUAAGAAUUCUCUGGGGAGAGGAAACCAACUUAGAGUUUUAUAAAUCCUGUAACAUUGUUAAUAAGCAAGGACGAAGGGGAAAAAUCCAAACAAAGUAUUCUAAACCUGUUUUCCUCCUGAGAGCUAGGUUGUUGUUUUGAGAGGCAGGCAAUAGAUUUCUCCAUUAAAUUACCUAAUAAUGAUACAUAGUAGCAAGGAGAGCAAGAAUACAAAUCUGUAUCUUUUCUCAAAGCCUAUUGGAGCUAAUGGUAUCACUUUCAUACAUCAGGAAACAACUUAAAAUAGGUAAAAUUGUUUUAUGUGUGUUUUUCCUCUUUGUCAGAGGAAGGGAUGGUUGGAAAGGGAGCCAGAAGAAGUGUGAAUAAUAAGGCAGGGAGUCCCCAGGAAGUCAACAGGAGACCUGCAAUGGGAAGACCCAAAGAAACAGCUAUUAAAUACCUGGUUAUGUAAGAAAGAGUGAAUUCCAUUUAUUCUGCAUUCAUAAGGAAGGUGGGAUUUUAAAAGAGUCUUGAAAUACUGAAGUCUAUUUGUUCCAAUAAUAAAUAAUAUUUCAUAUUCUAAUAGUUCUAUCUU
Molecule: long non-coding RNA, 1768 nt
Organism: Monodelphis domestica (gray short-tailed opossum)
Lineage: Eukaryota; Metazoa; Chordata; Mammalia; Didelphimorphia; Didelphidae
Source: Ensembl